GACGAACGCUGGCGGCGUGCUUAACACAUGCAAGUCGAACGGAAAGGCCCUGCUUUUGUGGGGUGCUCGAGUGGCGAACGCGUGAGUAACACGUGAGUAACCUGCCCUUGACUUUGGGAUAACUUCAGGAAACUGGGGAUAAUACCGGAUAGGAUCUCCUGCUGCAUGGUGGGGGUUGGAAAGUUUCGGCGGUUGGGGAUGGACUCGCGGCUUAUCAGCUUGUUGGUGGGGUAGUGGCUUACCAAGGCUUUGACGGGUAGCCGGCCUGAGAGGGUGACCGGCCACAUUGGGCCUGAGAUACGGCCCAGACUCCUACGGGAGGCAGCAGUGGGGAAUAUUGCACAAUGGGCGGAAGCCUGAUGCAGCAACGCCGCGUGCGGGAUGACGGCCUUCGGGUUGUAAACCGCUUUCGCCUGUGACGAAGCGUGAGUGACGGUAAUGGGUAAAGAAGCACCGGCUAACUACGUG
This 468-nucleotide ribosomal RNA is filed under the name uncultured bacterium. RNAcentral's name for it is "partial 16S ribosomal RNA". It matches the Rfam family "Bacterial small subunit ribosomal RNA", at positions 28 to 507 of the family's 1533-position model. The record is from RNAcentral.